RNAcentral lists this ribosomal RNA (292 nucleotides) under uncultured bacterium. Its description in RNAcentral is "partial 16S ribosomal RNA". It matches the Rfam family "Bacterial small subunit ribosomal RNA", at positions 505 to 796 of the family's 1533-position model. The record is from RNAcentral.
GUGUCAGCCGCCGCGGUAAUACGUAGGGGGCAAGCGUUGUCCGGAUUUAUUGGGCGUAAAGAGCGUGUAGGCGGCUUUACAGGUCCGUUGUGAAAACUCGAGGCUCAACCUCGAGACGCCGGUGGAAACCGUAAAGCUAGAGUCCGGAAGAGGAGAGUGGAAUUCCUGGUGUAGCGGUGAAAUGCGCAGAUAUCAGGAAGAACACCCGUGGCGAAGGCGGCUCUCUGGGACGGUACUGACGCUGAGACGCGAAAGCGUGGGGAGCAAACAGGAUUAGAUACCCCCGUAGUCC